AUCCAGAUGACGAGUCUGAAAUAGAGCGAAAUGCGCAUCCUAGAU
This is a non-coding RNA of Trichobilharzia regenti, 45 nucleotides long. The record is from Rfam. NCBI's taxonomy places the organism in Eukaryota, Metazoa, Platyhelminthes, Trematoda, Strigeidida, Schistosomatidae.